UACGUAGGUGGCAAGCGUUGUCCGGAUCUACUGGGCGUAAAGAGCGCGCAGGCGGUCGUUCAAGUCGCGUGUGAAAGCCCCCGGCUCAACUGGGGAGGGUCACGCGAUACUGAUCGACUCGAAGGCAGGAGAGGGAAGUGGAAUUCCCGGUGUAGUGGUGAAAUGCGUAGAUAUUGGGAAGAACACCGGUGGCGAAGGCGGCUCUCUGGACCGACACUGACGCUGAGGCGCGAAAGCGUGGGGAGCAAACAGG
RNAcentral lists this ribosomal RNA (253 nucleotides) under uncultured bacterium. RNAcentral describes it as "partial 16S ribosomal RNA". It matches the Rfam family "Bacterial small subunit ribosomal RNA", at positions 524 to 776 of the family's 1533-position model. The record is from RNAcentral.